UAAGACCCUUGAUAGGCUAUUGAUACACACACCAUAUCAUCGUGUGACUCCAAAUUUAACUUCGAUAUGAUGGUUAGUGUAUCAAUAUUUACGCUAAAGGCGUUUCCACUACCAUUUACUUCCAUUCAUUUGGACCAUGGCUGGGAAGACCUUGGGAACGGCUUUGGGCUCAUGCAGGCGAAAUUCCCAGCAUGGCCCAAGGAGCACCAGCUGAAAGGGGGAAUUUCGCCCAACAAUGCCAGGGACAAAAAUGUCCGCACCUAUUAGAGAAUAGACAUGGGCACCACUGGGGGUGUGACUAUUCCAAUGAAGUAGUUGCCAGAUCGCAAUGGUUCAAAAGCCAAGGUUAUUGAAGAGUCUGGGGGGUGACUAUUCCAAUGACGUCGUUGCCAGAUCUCAAUGGUUCAAAAGCCAGGGUUAUUGAAGAGUCUGGGGGGUGACUAUUCCAAUGACUUCGUUGCCAGAUCUCAAUGGUUCAAACGCCAAGGUUAUUGAAGAGUCUGGGGGGUGACUAUUCCAAUGACUUCGUUGCCAGAUCUCAAUGGUUCAAACGCCAAGGUUAUUGAAGAGUCUGGGGGGUGACUAUUCCAAUGACGUCGUUGCCAGAUCUCAAUGGUUCAAAAGCAAAGGUUAUUGAAGAGUCUGGGAGUGACUAUUCCAAUGACGUCGUUGCCAAAUCCUACUUCCUACCACUUACAUUUUACAUUUUAGUCAUUUAGCAGACGCUCUUAUCCAGAGCGACUUACAGUUAGUGCAUACAUUAUUU
Coregonus clupeaformis (lake whitefish) is the source of this 766-nucleotide long non-coding RNA. RefSeq lists it as uncharacterized. The transcript has 3 exons. Lineage: Eukaryota; Metazoa; Chordata; Actinopteri; Salmoniformes; Salmonidae. The record is from RefSeq and is a predicted model, not a curated record.